RNAcentral lists this ribosomal RNA (467 nucleotides) under uncultured bacterium. RNAcentral describes it as "partial 16S ribosomal RNA". It matches the Rfam family "Bacterial small subunit ribosomal RNA", at positions 29 to 507 of the family's 1533-position model. The record is from RNAcentral.
AGUGAACGCUGGCGGCAUGCCUAACACAUGCAAGUCGAACGGCACCACAGUAAGUGGUUGCGCUUACGGGCGUCGAGCGUCGGACGCGUGAGGAAGGCACCGGAAUCUACCUUUACGGGGGGGCUAACGUAGGGAAACUUCCGCGAACACAGCAUACGUCCCAUGGGGGUAAGCCGGGGAUCUAAGGGCCUAUCGCCAUUGUAUGAGCCCACGUUGGAUUCGAUAGUUGGCAGGUUAAAGGGCUAGCAAGGCGACGAUCCAUAGCUGGUCAGUGAGGAUGAUCAGACACACUGGGACUGAGACACGGUCCAGACUCCUACGGGAGGCAGCAGUGGGGAAUAUUGGACAACGGGCGAAAGCCUGAUCCAGCAAGGCCGCGUGAGUGAUGAAGGCCUUAGGGUUGUAAAGCUCUUUUACCCGGGAUGAUAAUGACAGUACCGGGAGAAUAAGCUCCGGCUAACUCCGUG